AAUAAGCGUAUCCAUAACUUUCCGCGUCUAACUUAGAUCGUCCGUUUUAUUUAAAAUUUUUUUAUAAUUAGUAUUUUUGUUGCCAUGAGUUAAUAAAAAGAAUAGUACUUUACUCGUGACUUAUGUUUUUAAUUUUUUUUUAAAAAAAUAAAUAAAACGAACUGUUAAAGUUGGACGCGGAAAACUAUAGCUGUACUUAUU
This is a non-coding RNA of Oryza meridionalis, 201 nucleotides long. Lineage: Eukaryota; Viridiplantae; Streptophyta; Magnoliopsida; Poales; Poaceae. The record is from Rfam.